UCCGGCUUAUCGCCGACAGUCUCCUUAGGGUUCUCGACUUGCUCGUUAGCAACUAAGGAUAAGGGUUGCGCUCGUUGCGGGACUUAACCCAACAUCUCACGACACGAGCUGACGACAGCCAUGCAGCACCUCUAGAGGGGUCCUCGAAAGGACUCGGACAUCUCUGCCCGAUGCUCCUCCAGUUCAAGCCCAGGUAAGGUUCUUCGCGUUGCGUCGAAUUGAACCACAUGCUCCACCGCUUGUGCGGGCCCCCGUCAAUUCCUUUGAGUUUCAGACUUGCGACCGUACUCCCCAGGCGGGAUACUUAAUGCGUUAGCUUCGGCACGGAGGGAUUAACCCCCCCACACCCAGUAUCCAUCGUUUACAGCCAGGACUAC
This 377-nucleotide unclassified non-coding RNA is filed under the name uncultured Acidobacteriota bacterium. RNAcentral describes it as "uncultured Acidobacteria bacterium contains 16S-23S intergenic spacer region". The record is from RNAcentral. Lineage: Bacteria; Pseudomonadati; Acidobacteriota.